This 253-nucleotide ribosomal RNA is filed under the name uncultured bacterium. RNAcentral describes it as "partial 16S ribosomal RNA". It matches the Rfam family "Bacterial small subunit ribosomal RNA", at positions 524 to 776 of the family's 1533-position model. The record is from RNAcentral.
UACGGGGGGGGCAAGCGUUGUUCGGAAUUACUGGGCGUAAAGGGCGCGUAGGCGGCCUUCUAAGUCGGACGUGAAAUCCCUCGGCUUAACCGAGGAACUGCGUCCGAGACUGAAAGGCUUGAAUCCGGGAGAGGGAUGUGGAAUUCCAGGUGUAGCGGUGAAAUGCGUAGAUAUCUGGAGGAGCACCGGUGGCGAAGGCGGCAUCCUGGACCGGCAUUGACGCUGAGGCGCGAAAGCUAGGGGAGCAAACGGG